Molecule: ribosomal RNA, 649 nt
Filed under: Escherichia coli
Lineage: Bacteria; Pseudomonadati; Pseudomonadota; Gammaproteobacteria; Enterobacterales; Enterobacteriaceae
Description: bacterial LSU rRNA
Rfam family: Bacterial large subunit ribosomal RNA
Source: RNAcentral
GGGUUGUGAGGUUAAGCGACUAAGCGUACACGGUGGAUGCCCUGGCAGUCAGAGGCGAUGAAGGACGUGCUAAUCUGCGAUAAGCGUCGGUGAGGUGAUAUGAACCGUUAUAACCGGCGAUUUCCGAAUGGGGAAACCCAGUGUGUUUCGACACACUAUCAUUAACUGAAUCCAUAGGUUAAUGAGGCGAACCGGGGGAACUGAAACAUCUAAGUACCCCGAGGAAAAGAAAUCAACCGAGAUUCCCCCAGUAGCGGCGAGCGAACGGGGAGGAGCCCAGAGCCUGAAUCAGUGUGUGUGUUAGUGGAAGCGUCUGGAAAGGCGUGCGAUACAGGGUGACAGCCCCGUACACAAAAAUGCACAUAUUGUGAGCUCGAUGAGUAGGGCGGGACACGUGGUAUCCUGUCUGAAUAUGGGGGGACCAUCCUCCAAGGCUAAAUACUCCUGACUGACCGAUAGUGAACCAGUACCGCGAGGGAAAGGCGAAAAGACAACCGGCGAGGGGAGUGACAAAGAACCUGAAACAGGGCACGUACAAGCAGUGGCACCCACUUUAUGGGGAGAAUGCGUCACUUUUGCAUAAUGGGUAAGCGACGUCUAGUAUUCAGAAAGUGUAAGGGAUUAGGGGGGGCGAAGGGAGGACGUGUCU